GAAGGGCCCGAGCGUUGCGCGGAAUCACUGGGCUUAAAGCGUACGUAGGCAGACAAGCAGGCACCUUGUGAAAUCCCUCGGCUCAACCGAGGAAUUGCUUGGUGAACCGCUUGUCUUGAGGUGAGUAGGGGCUGUCGGAACGAUAGGUGGAGCGGUGAAAUGCGUUGAUAUCUAUCGGAACGCCAAAGGCGAAGGCAGGCAGCUGGGCUCAUUCUGACGCUGAGGUACGAAAGCGUGGGGGGAGCGAACGGGAUUAGAUACCCCGGUAGUCCACGCCGUAAACGAUGUGCACUAGGUCGAGGGGGGUUCUGACGCCCAUUCUCGGCCGAAGCAAAAGUCUUAAGUGCACCGCCUGGGAGUACGGUCGCAAGGCUA
RNAcentral lists this ribosomal RNA (375 nucleotides) under uncultured organism. RNAcentral's name for it is "partial 16S ribosomal RNA". It matches the Rfam family "Bacterial small subunit ribosomal RNA", at positions 527 to 896 of the family's 1533-position model. The record is from RNAcentral.